Molecule: long non-coding RNA, 2452 nt
Organism: Dicentrarchus labrax (European seabass)
Lineage: Eukaryota; Metazoa; Chordata; Actinopteri; Moronidae
Exons: 5
Source: RefSeq, a predicted model, not a curated record
ACACUUAAUUAUUUCUCCUGCUUUUGUUCUGACAGUAUGAGGCUGAAGUGGAAAUAUCAACUUUUGUGUUUGUUUACCCAGUGGUACACACUGUGUUUAAUCUGAGGAGGAGACUUGGCUGUUCUCCAAUCAGAUUGCCUGAGAACCGGUUUGGAUCAGUCAAGCUGAGAAGAAUAAACUACUGAGAACACGACUCUCUGAUUUCACUUUGCGAUGACAGAGGAGAAGCUGAAGUCCAAACUCCAACAGAGGGUGAUUUGUCGGCGUGAGACUCAAAAUGAGGCUCUGUGAUGAAUCUGAGGAUGGAAACAGUGCAGACGAGCAGACAGAGUCUGCCGCCUCCAGCUGCUGCAGAAACACCGAGUGGCUCAACGUGCCGCGUUUCAGCCGCCACCACCUGUCUGCAGAUGAUGACAAACAGAUCAGCAUGCCGGAGUUUCCAACAGCCGUUUAUCUGCUGAUGAAACGGGAUAAAUCCUCAGAGCUGAUCGAUUUCAACUCCAACUUGGACCCUUCAGUCACAAAACUGGUGUGCGUGAGGACGAGCAGUAAGGACUUUGAGCUACCUUUCUAGAUUCCAGCCCGAACUGUGCAGUUAUGAUGCAGUCCAGAGGAACCAAUCCUUGAGGAGUGGCCACUCGAUGGGAAACACCAGAUUCAAAGUGAGCUUCAUUAUUCCAGUCGAGAGAUGAGAAAUCUCUUCUACAAGUUUGGACAUCAGCACUUGCUGUUUGGAGCUCUACUUGUAAAUAAUCUGCCUUCGUGUGAUAAAGGUUGUUCCAGUUCAGCAGCACAAAGCUGCUCAUUUAACGACGUCGGGGAGCGAGAACAGUCACAUGUGAAAUGAACUUUGCUUGUGCAGCUCACAGCCUGUAUGCAGACCUACAGCUGGAAAUGAAAAUCCAAACUGAGCUUCUGCAGUUACAUUUUAUUGGAGGGGGAAUUUUUUUAAAGUGAAUUAUUUCAGUUUUCAUUGGUUUUUCUACAUUCUGCUAUACUUCCAGUGGUGACACUAAAAACAGGGCAAAGACAGAAAGACGAUCGCCACGGGUUAGUUAACCUUGGUGAGGCUAAAUAGAAGGCUACAAACAUCCUCAUAGAACUGGAGUUACAUCCAGAUAACUUCUAGUUCCUUAAAGCCCCUGUGUGUGGAAUUUAAUUUGAUUAUAACAGCUAUCAAAUAUGUUUCUGUUUGUCGUGCAAAUGCUACACACAGGAGCUUUAAAAUAUCUUCACAUUAACAUCAAUAUGUUCUUCAUUCAUUCCAGACCCCUUUAAGGUAUUUUCCCGUCUUCUAGAAAUCACAUUUAUAUCCAAUUAAUUAAAACAAAAUGCAGACCAGAUUAUAUUUUAUAUCCACAUAAUGAGGAAAUAUGUCAGUAAAAUGUCCACUGACAACAUAUUUAAUUUGUUCUCCACCAAAACAUCCAAUCUUGUGAUACAAUAUCCGUUUGUAGGAACUUUUUUAUGGUUCUGUUUAGGCAACAAAAGCACCAACUUUAGAGAAAGAUCAACUUUCAUUGUUUGUUUGUUUAUCUGUUGAUUGAUUCUCUGAGAAAUGGACGACAUAGAUUUUGUAAUUGUGUGUCUGUUUGUGUUCUUCAAGGCGUUGGAAACACAUAUCAGUGAUUUGGUUUGUUAAAAAUCUGCUUUAAAGUCACAACCAAUAAGUCUACAGUUCUAUUUAGAGAUGAAAUUCUACUUUUAUACAGAACGUCCAUAUCUACAAGAGAACUGUCAUACAUUAGUUCAUAUUUGUUAUAUUACAAUGAGAUCAAUGGCAUAUAAAUAUUGAUUAAAGUCAGUCUCAGUCAACAGAAAACACAUUUUCCGUUUUACUGUUAAAUAUUGUUAGAAACAGUUUAGUUCAUAUAUUUUUGAACUCCAGCAGAAAGAAUUGUUGUACGUCUCAGUGUUUUCUCUUUUCUCUGUAUUGUUCUCAUGCCGUUUGCAUUCUAAUACUUUAUGUUUGUAUCAUAGAUGUGUAUAUUCACCGUUAUAUACCUGGAUGUACAUAUUGUUUGUGUUUAUGAGUCCAUCAGUCAUCUGAGCCCACUGACAGUUCUUUGGUCACGUUGUAGGAACAUUGGUGAAUAUUUAAGAAGCAGUCUUCAAGGCUAAAUGUGAGAGCAGAGCAUUAGUAAAGAAUUCUGAAAUACUGAGGUUAUGAUGGUGAUUUCUUAAGGUUCCCAUGCAUCCUGGAAAACCUGGGAAAGUCCUGGAAAAUGACAAUAUUUACCAAAAUGUUCCUGAGAGCAAAACGCUGUCCUGAAAGAGGUUUCUAAUGCAGAAUAAAUACAAUCAUAAUCACAUUGAUAGACUUUAUUCAUGAUCCUGUGAAUGUGUUUUUGGUGCUGGUCCCAGUGGGAUUCAAACUGUAACUGUGCAUCACAACCUUGUUCUGUUUUUAUGACACAUUUUAAGUGUGAGCCAAUAAAGGUUUAAAAUCUGA